Molecule: ribosomal RNA, 432 nt
Filed under: uncultured bacterium
Lineage: Bacteria
Description: partial 16S ribosomal RNA
Rfam family: Bacterial small subunit ribosomal RNA
Source: RNAcentral
AACGAACGCUGGCGGCAUGCCUAACACAUGCAAGUCGAACGAGACCUUCGGGUCUAGUGGCGCACGGGUGCGUAACGCGUGGGAACCUGCCCUUAGGUUCGGAAUAACUCCCCGAAAGGGGUGCUAAUACCGGAUAAUGUCUUCGGACCAAAGAUUUAUCGCCUUUGGAUGGGCCCGCGUUGGAUUAGCUAGUUGGUAGGGUAAAAGCCUACCAAGGCGACGAUCCAUAGCUGGUCUGAGAGGAUGAUCAGCCACACUGGGACUGCGACACGGCCCAGACUCCUCCGGGAGGCAGCAGUGGGGAAUAUUGGACAAUGGGCGAAUGCCUGAUCCAGCAAUGCCGCGUGAGUGAUGAAGGCCUUAGGGUUGUAAAGCUCUUUUACCCGGGAUGAUAAUGACAGUACCGGGAGAAUAAGCUCCGGCUAACUCCGU